UAUGACAAGAAAAUACAAGCUUUUUUCAACUGUAUACUGUAAACCUCUGAAUAUAAUGCUCACCUCAUUCCAAAUAUAAGCCCCCCCCCAAAAAAAAAACAUAAGUCCCCUGAAUAUAACAAGCCCAGUAGCCCACUAUGUUACUCAACAUUGACAUUGUCUUUUAAUAUAGCAGAGAACGAUAUUUAAAAACAUUGUCAUUGUCUUUAUAGCUUACUAUGUUAAUCAAAGUGUGUUAUUAAUACAUGUUUAUUUUCCUGUUUAUGACUGACUAGCUUGUUUAGUACUAACACAAAAGAUCGUCCAUGUAUAAGGCUCCUGUAUAUAAGUCCCCCUCCCUUGUAU
Paramuricea clavata is the source of this 345-nucleotide non-coding RNA. The record is from the annotation of a GenBank genome assembly. Lineage: Eukaryota; Metazoa; Cnidaria; Anthozoa; Malacalcyonacea; Plexauridae.